This 391-nucleotide unclassified non-coding RNA is filed under the name rhizosphere metagenome. RNAcentral describes it as "partial ribosomal RNA internal transcribed spacer region". The record is from RNAcentral.
GUAGGUGAACCUGCGGAAAAAUCAUUAACUCGUAUCCAACGUUAAACCCCUGAACCUUAAGACGCCGCUCCUAGGGCUCAGUCGCGAAAAAAACUAGCAAUCCCCUGUACUCGUCCGAGAAAAAUGUAAGGGGGAGGGGACUUCUGGCAGUGCACCCUAGUCAGAGCGCUUGGAGUUAGUGGCUUGUUUUUCCCCAAGCUGCCAAUGAGUGAAAGUGUCAUUGGCUGUGUAAGGAUUUUGCCUAAACAGCGAUCAGGUCGAUCAACGACCGGUGAAAUAAGCAACAGAAGCUUUAAUACUUCCCUCACCGCCCCCACUUCCUAUUGCCGUAACAACGCCGGGUAUUUAAAAACGUACAAAACAACUGUUAACAAUGGAUAUCUUGGUUCUC